RNAcentral lists this ribosomal RNA (2137 nucleotides) under Salmonella enterica. RNAcentral's name for it is "partial 23S ribosomal RNA". It matches the Rfam family "Bacterial large subunit ribosomal RNA", at positions 684 to 2802 of the family's 2925-position model. The record is from RNAcentral. Lineage: Bacteria; Pseudomonadati; Pseudomonadota; Gammaproteobacteria; Enterobacterales; Enterobacteriaceae.
UUAAUUGGGCGUUAAGUUGCAGGGUAUAGACCCGAAACCCGGUGAUCUAGCCAUGGGCAGGUUGAAGGUUGGGUAACACUAACUGGAGGACCGAACCGACUAAUGUUGAAAAAUUAGCGGAUGACCUGUGGCUGGGGGUGAAAGGCCAAUCAAACCGGGAGAUAGCUGGUUCUCCCCGAAAGCUAUUUAGGUAGCGCCUCGUGAAUUCAUCUCCGGGGGUAGAGCACUGUUUCGGCUAGGGGGCCAUCCCGGCUUACCAACCCGAUGCAAACUGCGAAUACCGGAGAAUGUUAUCACGGGAGACACACGGCGGGUGCUAACGUCCGUCGUGAAGAGGGAAACAACCCAGACCGCCAGCUAAGGUCCCAAAGUCAUGGUUAAGUGGGAAACGAUGUGGGAAGGCCCAGACAGCCAGGAUGUUGGCUUAGAAGCAGCCAUCAUUUAAAGAAAGCGUAAUAGCUCACUGGUCGAGUCGGCCUGCGCGGAAGAUGUAACGGGGCUAAACCAUGCACCGAAGCUGCGGCAGCGACACUGUGUGUUGUUGGGUAGGGGAGCGUUCUGUAAGCCUGUGAAGGUGUGUCGUGAGGCAUGCUGGAGGUAUCAGAAGUGCGAAUGCUGACAUAAGUAACGAUAAAGCGGGUGAAAAGCCCGCUCGCCGGAAGACCAAGGGUUCCUGUCCAACGUUAAUCGGGGCAGGGUGAGUCGACCCCUAAGGCGAGGCCGAAAGGCGUAGUCGAUGGGAAACGGGUUAAUAUUCCCGUACUUGGUGUUACUGCGAAGGGGGGACGGAGAAGGCUAUGUUGGCCGGGCGACGGUUGUCCCGGUUUAAGCGUGUAGGUGUGUGUUCCAGGUAAAUCCGGUUCACUUUAACACUGAGGCGUGACGACGAGGCACUACGGUGCUGAAGCAACAAAUGCCCUGCUUCCAGGAAAAGCCUCUAAGCAUCAGGUAACAUCAAAUCGUACCCCAAACCGACACAGGUGGUCAGGUAGAGAAUACCAAGGCGCUUGAGAGAACUCGGGUGAAGGAACUAGGCAAAAUGGUGCCGUAACUUCGGGAGAAGGCACGCUGACACGUAGGUGAAGUGAUUUACUCAUGGAGCUGAAGUCAGUCGAAGAUACCAGCUGGCUGCAACUGUUUAUUAAAAACACAGCACUGUGCAAACACGAAAGUGGACGUAUACGGUGUGACGCCUGCCCGGUGCCGGAAGGUUAAUUGAUGGGGUCAGCGCAAGCGAAGCUCCUGAUCGAAGCCCCGGUAAACGGCGGCCGUAACUAUAACGGUCCUAAGGUAGCGAAAUUCCUUGUCGGGUAAGUUCCGACCUGCACGAAUGGCGUAAUGAUGGCCAGGCUGUCUCCACCCGAGACUCAGUGAAAUUGAACUCGCUGUGAAGAUGCAGUGUACCCGCGGCAAGACGGAAAGACCCCGUGAACCUUUACUAUAGCUUGACACUGAACAUUGAGCCUUGAUGUGUAGGAUAGGUGGGAGGCUUUGAAGUGUGGACGCCAGUCUGCAUGGAGCCGACCUUGAAAUACCACCCUUUAAUGUUUGAUGUUCUAACGUGGACCCGUUACCCGGGUUGCGGACAGUGUCUGGUGGGUAGUUUGACUGGGGCGGUCUCCUCCUAAAGAGUAACGGAGGAGCACGAAGGUUGGCUAAUCCUGGUCGGACAUCAGGAGGUUAGUGCAAUGGCAUAAGCCAGCUUGACUGCGAGCGUGACGGCGCGAGCAGGUGCGAAAGCAGGUCAUAGUGAUCCGGUGGUUCUGAAUGGAAGGGCCAUCGCUCAACGGAUAAAAGGUACUCCGGGGAUAACAGGCUGAUACCGCCCAAGAGUUCAUAUCGACGGCGGUGUUUGGCACCUCGAUGUCGGCUCAUCACAUCCUGGGGCUGAAGUAGGUCCCAAGGGUAUGGCUGUUCGCCAUUUAAAGUGGUACGCGAGCUGGGUUUAGAACGUCGUGAGACAGUUCGGUCCCUAUCUGCCGUGGGCGCUGGAGAACUGAGGGGGGCUGCUCCUAGUACGAGAGGACCGGAGUGGACGCAUCACUGGUGUUCGGGUUGUCAUGCCAAUGGCACUGCCCGGUAGCUAAAUGCGGAAGAGAUAAGUGCUGAAAGCAUCUAAGCACGAAACUUGCCCCGA